CGGGACGGGUGAGUAACGCGUGGGUAACCUGCCUCAUACAGGGGGAUAACAGUUAGAAAUGGCUGCUAAUACCGCAUAAGACCACAGUACUGCAUGGUACAGUGGUAAAAACUCCGGUGGUAUGAGAUGGACCCGCGUCUGAUUAGGUAGUUGGUGAGGUAACGGCCCACCAAGCCGACGAUCAGUAGCCGACCUGAGAGGGUGACCGGCCGCAUUGGGACUGAGACACGGCCCAG
Molecule: ribosomal RNA, 236 nt
Filed under: uncultured bacterium
Lineage: Bacteria
Description: partial 16S ribosomal RNA
Rfam family: Bacterial small subunit ribosomal RNA
Source: RNAcentral